Molecule: unclassified non-coding RNA, 395 nt
Filed under: soil metagenome
Description: partial contains 5.8S ribosomal RNA, internal transcribed spacer 2, and large subunit ribosomal RNA
Rfam family: 5.8S ribosomal RNA (bases 1-120)
Source: RNAcentral
GAUGAAGAACGUAGCGAAAUGCGAUAAGUAAUGUGAAUUGCAGAAUUCAGUGAAUCAUCGAAUCUUUGAACGCACCUUGCGCCUUUUGGUAUUCCGAAAGGCACACCUGUUUGAGCGUCAUGAAUACCUCAAUCUCCAUCUUUUCUUCGGAUUGAUGGGUGACUUGGAUGUUGAGCCCUGCUGGUAUGCUAUAUCAGCUGGCUUUAAACUUAUUAGCCGGCUCUGUACUGGAUCGGUUUGACUCGACGUGAUAAUAUUAUCGUUGAGGAUGCAUGUCUCAUGCAGCUGGAAAGUAUCAAAGCAGCUUCUAGCUUGCCUUUAGUGCACUUUUACAUUUUAGACCUCAGAUCAGGUGGGACUACCCGCUGAACUUAAGCAUAUCAAUAAGCGGAGGA